GCGAUAAGAGGGCGGGCGGCGCGGGGCGGCGGCGCUCGGUGCUCGCUCCCUCGCUCACGUCCUGCCGCGCUCCGGGGGAGGGGGGGAAGAAGGGCGCCCGCUCCGCCAUGGCCGAGACGAUCGCGGACACCCGGCGGCUGAUCAGCAAGCCGCAGAACCUGAACGACGCCUACGGGCCGCCCAGCAACUUCCUGGAGAUCGACGUGGGCAACCCGCAGACGGUGGGGGUGGGCCGCGGCCGCUUCACCACCUACGAGAUCCGCGUCAAGACAAAUCUACCUAUCUUCAAAUUGAAAGAAUCUACGGUCAGAAGAAGAUACAGUGACUUUGAAUGGCUAAGGAAUGAACUAGAAAGAGAAAGCAAGGUUGUGGUUCCACCUCUUCCAGGAAAAGCUCUUCUCCGUCAGCUCCCUUUCCGAGGAGAUGAUGGCAUAUUUGAUGAUUCCUUUAUAGAGGAAAGGAAGCAGGCUCUUGAACAAUUCAUAAACAAAUGUGAGGUAUUAUCAGCUUGUGUAAUGAUGCAUAUUUUCUCUAAUCAUCAUGAGAAUCUUUAUGAAGAUGUAGAAACACUACCUGAGGCUUGGGACUCUAAAUGCUGAAGUGCACUUACUGAAAGUUUUGUAUGCUGAGUCUAGCAAUAUGUGGGGGAAGAGGGCUGUUUAUGUUCUGAAGCAGCUAAUAGUACAACAGUCAUCUUAACUGGAAUCUCUGAAAAACUCAGUAUAGCUGACAAAGGGAGUGGCCAGUUUACUGGUAUUGCUUGUUUAGUCCUACAGCAAGUAACAGGUUGAUCUUGUGGAAGUGUAAAACUUCUUGGUCAAUUUUUCCUCCUUUGAAACAUAAAAGCAGACUGUUAAUGAAGAUAUUGAUGUAGUGGCAGACUUGAGUACAGCUGGAACAAGGCUCUUCAGGCACAACUCCUAGCUAUUCAACCUCAUCAAUUUAUUCUAAUGGCAUGACCAACUCAUCAAGCAAAUAUUACUAAUUAAAGUUUUGUACUAUGUAGAAGCUUUAAGGCUUCUACCAAGUACUCUGGGUACUAGUGAACUUAGACAUGAAGGUAAUUUGCAUAAUACAUUCAUAUUGCUGCAUUCUCAAAGCUAGUCUUUACCUCUAGAACUAGAGAGGAGUCCCUCAGAUAAUUGAUACCACUAUAUCCAAAAAAAUCUUGGUGCACCAAUGCCAGUUCUUGAUACCCAGGAGUGUCAAGAUAGAUGUUGUUGAGAAGCUUUAUCCCUCUAGAUCUAAAAUCUAAGAGGAACUAAAUCACAGCAGUGCAGCUUACUUGAGUCAGCUCUCUUGAGCCAGCUUGCUGGCACUACCAUCAAUACUACAUAGAAUGACAUUCACAGGGGUGGCUAUGUUGCAACAUUCUUGUCUGCCUGAACCGGACUGUGGGAUACAUGAAAAUUCUUGAAGUAGCGGCUGCUAUGUGUAAAGGUCACCUUAGUGAAGAAGUCUAACGAAAAGCCAAUGCAGAGUGAGGUAUUCAUGUGAAACCAAGAGCUGAAUCUGAGAGAUCAGAUCUAGUCUUGCAAUUCAGCCACCAAAUUGCAAGCCUUCCUGAAAGGGAGAAGAAAUAUGCUGCUGCCUCGUCAUCUUCUCCUGUAUAUCUUUCUCUUGAAGUUCAAGGCCAGCAACUUCAGUCUGAUGGGGGGUUGCAGGCCACCCACUGGCACAGAACGAGCGCUGUCUUCACAUGUUCUUACAAGAUGAAGUAAUAGAC
RNA transcript from Haliaeetus leucocephalus (bald eagle), 1726 nucleotides. It is a transcript of the gene named sorting nexin 3, with no coding region annotated. Lineage: Eukaryota; Metazoa; Chordata; Aves; Accipitriformes; Accipitridae. The transcript has 6 exons. The record is from RefSeq and is a predicted model, not a curated record.